This 492-nucleotide ribosomal RNA is filed under the name uncultured bacterium. RNAcentral's name for it is "partial 16S ribosomal RNA". It matches the Rfam family "Bacterial small subunit ribosomal RNA", at positions 29 to 507 of the family's 1533-position model. The record is from RNAcentral.
AGUGAACGCUGGCGGUAGGCCUAACACAUGCAAGUCGAACGGCAGCACAGUAAGAGCUUGCUCUUACGGGUGGCGAGUGGCGGACGGGUGAGGAAUACAUCGGAAUCUACUUUUUCGUGGGGGAUAACGUAGGGAAACUUACGCUAAUACCGCAUACGACCUACGGGUGAAAGCAGGGGAUCUUCGGACCUUGCGCGAUUGAAUGAGCCGAUGUCGGAUUAGCUAGUUGGCGGGGUAAAGGCCCACCAAGGCGACGAUCCGUAGCUGGUCUGAGAGGAUGAUCAGCCACACUGGAACUGAGACACGGUCCAGACUCCUACGGGAGGCAGCAGUGGGGAAUAUUGGACAAUGGGCGCAAGCCUGAUCCAGCUAUACCGCGUGGGUGAAGAAGGCCUUCGGGUUGUAAAGCCCUUUUGUUGGGAAAGAAAAGCAGCAGGUUAAUACCCCGCUGUUCUGACGGUACCCAAAGAAUAAGCGCCGGCUAACUUCGUG